This is a long non-coding RNA of Chelonia mydas (Green sea turtle), 184 nucleotides long. RefSeq lists it as uncharacterized. NCBI's taxonomy places the organism in Eukaryota, Metazoa, Chordata, Testudines, Cheloniidae. The record is from RefSeq and is a predicted model, not a curated record. The transcript has 4 exons.
UACUUUUCUGACUCUGUCAAUCUGUUUUUUCACAUCAGCAGGUGGGUAUUGUAGUUUUAAGAAUGCUUGAUAGAGAUCCUGUAGGUGUUUGUCUCUGUCUGAGGGAUUGGAGCAAAUGUGGUUGUAUCUUAGCGCUUGGUUGUAGACAACGGAUCGUUUGGUGUGCCCUGAAUGGAAGGUGGAG